This 254-nucleotide ribosomal RNA is filed under the name uncultured bacterium. RNAcentral describes it as "partial 16S ribosomal RNA". It matches the Rfam family "Bacterial small subunit ribosomal RNA", at positions 524 to 776 of the family's 1533-position model. The record is from RNAcentral.
UACGUAGGGUGCGAGCGUUGUCCGGAAUUAUUGGGCGUAAAGAGCUCGUAGGCGGCUUGUCGCGUCGGAUGUGAAAGCCCGGGGCUUAACUCCGGGUCUGCAUUCGAUACGGGCAGGCUAGAGUUCGGUAGGGGAGAUCGGAAUUCCUGGUGUAGCGGUGAAAUGCGCAGAUAUCAGGAGGAACACCGGUGGCGAAGGCGACUACCUGGCCUGUUUCUUGACGCUGAGGCGCGAAAGCUAGGGGAGCAAACGGG